RNAcentral lists this ribosomal RNA (433 nucleotides) under uncultured bacterium. Its description in RNAcentral is "partial 16S ribosomal RNA". It matches the Rfam family "Bacterial small subunit ribosomal RNA", at positions 29 to 507 of the family's 1533-position model. The record is from RNAcentral.
AGCGAACGCUGGCGGCAGGCCUAACACAUGCAAGUCGAACGAACUCUUCGGAGUUAGUGGCGGACGGGUGAGUAACACGUGGGAACGUGCCUUUUGGUUCGGAAUAACUCAGGGAAACUUGUGAUAAUACCGAAUGUGCCCUUCGGGGGAAAGAUUUAUCGCCAUUAGAGCGGCCCGCGUCUGAUUAGCUAGUUGGUGAGGUAACGGCUCACCAAGGCGACGAUCAGUAGCUGGUCUGAGAGGAUGACCAGCCACACUGGGACUGAGACACGGCCCAGACUCCUACGGGAGGCAGCAGUGGGGAAUCUUGCGCAAUGGGCGAAAGCCUGACGCAGCCAUGCCGCGUGAAUGAUGAAGGUCUUAGGAUUGUAAAAUUCUUUCACCGGGGACGAUAAUGACGGUACCCGGAGAAGAAGCCCCGGCUAACUUCGUG